RNAcentral lists this ribosomal RNA (250 nucleotides) under Vibrio navarrensis. Its description in RNAcentral is "partial 16S ribosomal RNA". It matches the Rfam family "Bacterial small subunit ribosomal RNA", at positions 1293 to 1533 of the family's 1533-position model. The record is from RNAcentral. Lineage: Bacteria; Pseudomonadati; Pseudomonadota; Gammaproteobacteria; Vibrionales; Vibrionaceae.
CCGGAUUGGAGUCUGCAACUCGACUCCAUGAAGUCGGAAUCGCUAGUAAUCGUGGAUCAGAAUGCCACGGUGAAUACGUUCCCGGGCCUUGUACACACCGCCCGUCACACCAUGGGAGUGGGCUGCAAAAGAAGUGGGUAGUUUAACCUUCGGGAGGACGCUCACCACUUUGUGGUUCAUGACUGGGGUGAAGUCGUAACAAGGUAGCGCUAGGGGAACCUGGCGCUGGAUCACCUCCUUAUACGAUGAU